Molecule: non-coding RNA, 405 nt
Organism: Hippocampus comes (tiger tail seahorse)
Lineage: Eukaryota; Metazoa; Chordata; Actinopteri; Syngnathiformes; Syngnathidae
Source: the annotation of a RefSeq genome assembly
AUGAACCGGGCGCUUGUAUGUUUGCUGACGGCUGCUUGGAGCCUGGGAAUCAGUGGACAGGCGGUGCACCAGCCGGAACGGGACGUCCGCACCGUGGAGGGUGCAGCAGUGACGCUGGACUGCAGUUACGACACUUCGACGUACUACAUCUUCUGGUACAAACAAGAAGCCAACGGAUCGCCUGACUUCAUCCUGGUCACAGAUCGGCCCGGUUCCAGGACGAAUGCCGAAAAGUACCGUGAAAGAUUUCGCUGCAGCAUGGAUGCCAGCGCUGGGCAAGCUCCUCUGCAUAUCGACAGCGUGAAGCCCAGCGACUCGGGAGUCUUCUACUGCGUUGUGCGGCCCACGCUGACACAUCCACUGGCGUGCCUGCACAAAAACACCUGCACCCGCCUCAUCUCAUGA